AGGGUUCGAUUCUGGCUCAGGAUGAACGCUGGCGGUAUGCCUAACACAUGCAAGUCGUACGAGAGUUUUUAACUCUAGUGGCGGACGGGUGAGUAACACGUGAGAAUUUGCCUUUAGGAGGGGGAUAACAAUCGGAAACGAAUGCUAAUACCCCAUAUGCUUUCGAGUGAAAUGGAUUUAUAUUUAUCCGCCUAGAGAGAAGCUCGCGGCUGAUUAGCUUGUUGGUAAGGUAAGAGCUUACCAAGGCGACGAUCAGUAUCUGGUUUGAGAGGACGAUCAGACACACUGGAACUGAGACACGGUCCAGACUCCUACGGGAGGCAGCAGUGGGGAAUUUUCCGCAAUGGGCGAAAGCCUGACGGAGCAAUACCGCGUGAGGGAAGACUGCCUAUGGGUUGUAAACCUCUUUUUUCAGGGAGGAAUCAAUGACGUGUACCUGAAGAAUAAGCAUCGGCUAACUCCGUGCCAGCAGCCGCGGUAAGACGGAGGAUGCAAGUGUUAUCCGGAAUCACUGGGCGUAAAGCGUCUGUAGGUGGUUUAAUAAGUCAACUGUUAAAUCUUGAGGCUCAACUUCAAAAUCGCAGUCGAAACUAUUAGACUAGAGUAUAGUAGAGGUAAAGGGAAUUUCCAGUGGAGCGGUGAAAUGCGUAGAUAUUGGAAAGAACACCGAUGGCGAAAGCACUUUACUGGGCUAUUACUAACACUCAGAGACGAAAGCUAGGGUAGCAAAUGGGAUUAGAUACCCCAGUAGUCCUAGCCGUAAACAAUGGAUACUAGAUGUUGAACAGAUCGACCUGUGCAGUAUCAAAGCUAACGCGUUAAGUAUCCCGCCUGGGAAAGUAUGCUCGCAAGAGUGAAACUCAAAGGAAUUGACGGAAUCA
RNAcentral lists this ribosomal RNA (881 nucleotides) under uncultured bacterium. RNAcentral's name for it is "bacterial SSU rRNA". It matches the Rfam family "Bacterial small subunit ribosomal RNA", at positions 8 to 921 of the family's 1533-position model. The record is from RNAcentral.